Oryza brachyantha (malo sina) is the source of this 191-nucleotide non-coding RNA. The record is from Rfam. Lineage: Eukaryota; Viridiplantae; Streptophyta; Magnoliopsida; Poales; Poaceae.
AAUAACCUUAUUUUUUCUUUCCGUGUCUAACGUUUGAUCAGUCGCCUUAUUUAAAAUUUUUUUGCGAUUAAUAUUUUUAUUAUUACUACAUGAUAAAAUAUGAAUAGUACUUUACAUGUGACUAAUUUUUUUAAGUGUUUGUAUAAAUUUUUCAAAUAAGAUGAAUGGUAAAACGUUGGAUACGGAAAAAC